RNAcentral lists this ribosomal RNA (458 nucleotides) under uncultured bacterium. Its description in RNAcentral is "partial 16S ribosomal RNA". It matches the Rfam family "Bacterial small subunit ribosomal RNA", at positions 338 to 795 of the family's 1533-position model. The record is from RNAcentral.
CCUACGGGCGGCUGCAGUGGGGAAUAUUGCACAAUGGGGGAAACCCUGAUGCAGCGACGCCGCGUGAGUGAAGAAGCGUUUCGGCGCGUAAAGCUCUGUCAGCGGGGAAGAAACACGGUUCGCGAGAGCCGCGGACGGUACCCGACCAAGAAGCCCCGGCUAACUACGUGCCAGCAGCCGCGGUAAUACGUAGGGGGCAAGCGUUAUCCGGAUUCACUGGGUGUAAAGGGGGCGUAGACGGCGAGACAAGUCUGGAGGGAAAGGCCGGGGCCGAACCCCGGUGCUGCUCUGGAAACUGGCUGGCUGGAGUGCGGGAGAGGUAAGUGGAAUGCGUGGUGUAGCGGUGAAAUGCGUAGAUAUUAGGAGGAACACCAGUGGCGAAGGCGGCUUACUGGACCGUAACUGACGUUGAGGCACGAAAGCGUGGGGAGCAAACAGGAUUAGAUACCCUAGUAGUC